GGGCGUGUGGCUCAGUUGGUAGAGCGUUCGCUUAGCAAGUCUUCUCUUGCGAAAGGUCCUGGGUUCGAUUCCCAGCCCGUCCA
This is a non-coding RNA of Podospora appendiculata, 83 nucleotides long. The record is from the annotation of a GenBank genome assembly. Lineage: Eukaryota; Fungi; Ascomycota; Sordariomycetes; Sordariales; Podosporaceae.